AGUGAACGCUGGCGGUAGGCCUAACACAUGCAAGUCGAACGGCAGCACAGUAAGAGCUUGCUCUUACGGGUGGCGAGUGGCGGACGGGUGAGGAAUACAUCGGAAUCUACUUUUUCGUGGGGGAUAACGUAGGGAAACUUACGCUAAUACCGCAUACGACCUACGGGUGAAAGCAGGGGAUCUUCGGACCUUGCGCGAUUGAAUGAGCCGAUGUCGGAUUAGCUAGUUGGCGGGGUAAAGGCCCACCAAGGCGACGAUCCGUAGCUGGUCUGAGAGGAUGAACAGCCACACUGGAACUGAGACACGGUCCAGACUCCUACGGGAGGCAGCAGUGGGGAAUAUUGGAGAAUGGGCGCAAGCCUGAUCCAGCCAUACCGCGUGGGUGAAGAAGGCCUUCGGGUUGUAAAGCCCUUUUGUUGGGAAAGAAAAGCAGCAGGUUAAUACCCCGCUGUUCUGAGGGUACCCAAAGAAUAAGCACCGGCUAACUUCGUG
Molecule: ribosomal RNA, 492 nt
Filed under: uncultured bacterium
Lineage: Bacteria
Description: partial 16S ribosomal RNA
Rfam family: Bacterial small subunit ribosomal RNA
Source: RNAcentral